Molecule: long non-coding RNA, 1121 nt
Organism: Drosophila pseudoobscura
Lineage: Eukaryota; Metazoa; Arthropoda; Insecta; Diptera; Drosophilidae
Exons: 3
Source: RefSeq, a predicted model, not a curated record
CCGGCCAUGGACUUUCCACCGAGCGAUGCCUUGGCCCGUCGUCAGUCGCGAGUGGAGCGGCGUACCGUAACCUGAAAGCGGCUGAAAGAAGGCCACUGAGCAAACACCGAGAAAGCCCCCAAAAGCAGGACGAGCAGGAGCAAGAGCAAGAGCACGAGCACGAGAAUUGUGUCCAGCAGCAGAUUGUGCUAAUUUCUGUGUGGGGGAGCAUACUUUUUGGCGCGCUGCUUAUAAUCCGAAUGUCGUCUAAGUGAAUGUGAAAUGUGACAGGCCACAGUGACAGUUGACAAAAGCCAAGCGACAAAAACGAGGAAAACCAAACGAUGAAAACGGGAGGAAAACCAAAAGGAGGGAAAACCAGAUGGAAACAAGUUGCUGUUGAUGUUGGCUACUGGUUCCUGCUUCAAGUCGAGUCGAGUCCUGUCGUGUCCUGUGCUGUCCUGUGCUGUGCUGGUGCCCCCAGGAGACAUUUAACAUAAUAAAAACGAACGUGUGCGGCAUUUUUGUGCUGCUUUAACAGUAUCUCUCCAACAGUAUCUGUGUGCUAAUAACACCCAGAUACACCCACACACACACACAGAGAGAGAGACAAACAAACAAUAUGUGUGCAAAUGUGUGCGUGAAGCAGUUGGGAAAAGUGUCGUAAAUCGUUUAGACAGCGAAACGUGGAACCAUCCCGAAAAGAGGAAGCAAAAUGGCAGAGGAAACGAUAUGUAAACGACACAGUCGCCGUGGGAAAAACUCAUCCAAAAACAAAAAACAAAAAGAAAAGAAGAGGAAAACAAGGAGAAAGGGAAACCCCACUGCAGUUGUUGCUCAUAUGUACGCCUAAAAAUUGGAAAUUCUGGAUGAAAUGGUUCUUUUAAAAAUCAAGUUACAAAGAUUGCUGAAGUAUCAUCUUUUCUUGUGGCAUUUCGUGUGAUUUGUGACAUGCCGUGUGACUUUUUCCAUGGAUGAUUUUCUGCCCCCCCGCGAAACGAUGAUGAAACGAUGAUACGACCGAUGAGGUGUGGCCUAUCAAAAUAUUGUGAUGAUAAAUAUAAAAUAUUGCCAUAAAUAAACCAAUUUUACAGAAAGAAAAAACAAAGAAAAAUAAAAUAUACAGUCUAUAAAAAAAUACA